GUGCCCGCUUCAGCAGCACAGAUACUAAAAAAUUGGAAUGAUACAGAGAACAUUAGUAUGGCCCCUGCACAAGGAUGACACGCAAAUUCGUGAAGCAUACAAUAAAGAA
Molecule: small nuclear RNA, 109 nt
Organism: Saimiri boliviensis boliviensis (Bolivian squirrel monkey)
Lineage: Eukaryota; Metazoa; Chordata; Mammalia; Primates; Cebidae
Source: Ensembl